GGACCUGUAGCUCAGUGGUUAAGCAUCUGCUUUGAAUGCAAAAGGUCCCAUGUUCAAACCCUGCCAUUUCUA
Podarcis lilfordi (Lilford's wall lizard) is the source of this 72-nucleotide non-coding RNA. Lineage: Eukaryota; Metazoa; Chordata; Lepidosauria; Squamata; Lacertidae. The record is from the annotation of a GenBank genome assembly.